RNAcentral lists this ribosomal RNA (257 nucleotides) under uncultured bacterium. Its description in RNAcentral is "partial small subunit ribosomal RNA". It matches the Rfam family "Bacterial small subunit ribosomal RNA", at positions 26 to 285 of the family's 1533-position model. The record is from RNAcentral.
AGGACGAACGCUGGCGGCGUGCUUAACACAUGCAAGUCGAGCGGUGAUCCUCCUUCGGGAGGUGAUCAGCGGCGAACGGGUGAGUAACACGUGGGCAACCUGCCCCUCACACUGGGAUAAACCUCGGGAAACCGGGCUAAUACCGGAUACGACCUCGAGCGGCAUCUCUUGAGGUGGAAAGCUCCGACGGUGAGGGAUGGGCCCGCGGCCUAUCAGCUUGUUGGUGGGGUAAUGGCCUACCAAGGCGACGACGGGUA